UGGGGAAUUUUGGACAAUGGGCGAAAGCCUGAUCCAGCAAUGCCGCGUGUGUGAAGAAGGCCUUCGGGUUGUAAAGCACUUUUGUCCGGAAAGAAAUCCUUGGCUCUAAUACAGUCGGGGGAUGACGGUACCGGAAGAAUAAGCACCGGCUAACUACGUGCCAGCAGCCGCGGUAAUACGUAGGGUGCAAGCGUUAAUCGGAAUUACUGGGCGUAAAGCGUGCGCAGGCGGUUUGCUAAGACCGAUGUGAAAUCCCCGGGCUCAACCUGGGAACUGCAUUCGUGACUGCAAGGCUAGAGUAUGGCAGAGGGGGGUAGAAUUCCACGUGUAGCAGUGAAAUGCGUAGAGAUGUGGAGGAAUACCGAUGGCGAAGGCAGCCCCCUGGGCCAAUACUGACGCUCAUGCACGAAAGCGUGGGGAGCAAACAGGAUUAGAUACCCUGGUAGUCCACGCCCUAAACGAUGUCAACUAGUUGUUGGGGAUUCAUUUCCUUAGUAACGUAGCUAACGCGUGAAGUUGACCGCCUGGGGAGUACGGUCGCAAGAUUAAAACUCAAAUGAAUUGACGGGGUCAUAGCUGUUUCCU
Molecule: ribosomal RNA, 585 nt
Filed under: uncultured bacterium
Lineage: Bacteria
Description: partial 16S ribosomal RNA
Rfam family: Bacterial small subunit ribosomal RNA
Source: RNAcentral